AUGGACCACGCAACAGGUGCCAUGGGCAGCCUGCUCCUCAAGCUCGGUGAACUCCUCAAGGAGGAAAACGAACUGCAGAAGGGCAUCAAGGAAGACGUCCAGUAUCUUCAAAGAGAGCUGAGGAGCAUGCACGCUGCCCUCCGCAAGGUCGGGGACGUGCCACGGGACCAGCUCGACGAGCAAGUCAAGCUCUGGGCAAACGAGGUCAGUGAUCUUUCAUAUAGAAUGGAGGAUACCAUCGACAAGUUCCUGAUACGUGUUGAGGGCCCUGAGCUUGACGACAAGCCGCACAAGCUCAAACAGCUCGUGAAGAAGAUGUGUGACUUGUUCACCAAGGGUAAGGCGCGACAUGCCAUCGGAAAAGAGAUCAAAGGCAUCAAGGCCAGCGUCCAGGAGGUGGCUGCCCGGCGUGACCGGUACAAGGUCAAAGAUGUGGUUCCUAAUCCAACUGGCCAAAUCAUGGUUGACCCUCGCCUAUCAGCUCUGUACGAGGACCGGAAAGAGCUCGUUGGCAUUGAUGAUUCAUUGAAUGAGCUAACCGAGAAGCUGAGUGACGGGGAUGGUGAUCUGUCCAAGCAACUCAAGAUACUCUCUGUUUUUGGCUUCAGAGGCCUUGGCAAGACAACUCUUGCCAAAGCAUUGUAUGAUAAUGGCCACGCGCAGUUUGAUUGCAGCGCUUUUGUUCCGGUAGGACAGAACCCUAGCGUGAAGAAAAUUCUCAAUGACAUACUCAAUGAAAUUGAUGGGAAAAAGUGCUUGGAGUUGGAUGAAAGGAAGCUAAUCAACAAACUCCGAGGGUUACUCGAGAACAGAAGGUUAUUUUCCGUUGUACGCACUCGCUUCGUACGUGGUGUACGCUACAACGAGCGGAGUACCAACCGUUGUUCAAGGCGGUGUGUACGAUGUUGGAGCAGGUGGCUACGGAGGUUUUUUCCCAACAUGGAUGGCAGCGUAAUCUCCGGCUCGGUCCACCAUCUCUUUUAA
Molecule: ribosomal RNA, 984 nt
Filed under: Triticum aestivum (bread wheat)
Lineage: Eukaryota; Viridiplantae; Streptophyta; Magnoliopsida; Poales; Poaceae
Description: partial small subunit ribosomal RNA
Source: RNAcentral